ACGCGCGAAACCUUACCUACCCUUGACAUGCCACUAACGAAGCAGAGAUGCAUUAGGUGCUCGAAAGAGAAAGUGGACACAGGUGCUGCAUGGCUGUCGUCAGCUCGUGUCGUGAGAUGUUGGGUUAAGUCCCCGCAACGAGCGCAACCCUUGUCUCUAGUUGCUACGAAAGGGCACUCUAGAGAGACUGCCGGUGACAAACCGGAGGAAGGUGGGGAUGACGUCAAGUCCUCAUGGCCCUUAUGGGUAG
This 250-nucleotide ribosomal RNA is filed under the name uncultured bacterium. RNAcentral describes it as "partial 16S ribosomal RNA". It matches the Rfam family "Bacterial small subunit ribosomal RNA", at positions 959 to 1211 of the family's 1533-position model. The record is from RNAcentral.